UAGGGAAUAUUGGUAAUCUGGGAAACCGGGAACCAGCAACGCCGCGUGCGCGAUGAAGGCCUUCGGGUUGUAAAGCGCUUUUUAAAGGGAUGAGGAAGGACAGUACCUUUAGAAUAAGCCUCGGCUAACUACGUGCCAGCAGCCGCGGUAAAACGUAGGAGGCGAGCGUUAUCCGGAUUUACUGGGCGUAAAGCGCGUGCAGGCGGUUUGAUAAGUUGGAUGUGAAAGCUCCUGGCUUAACUGGGAGAGGUCGUUCAAAACUAUCAGACUAGAGAGUGGUAGAGGGAGAUGGAAUUCCGCGUGUAGUGGUGAAAUGCGUAGAUAUGCGGAGGAACACCAGUGGCGAAAGCGGGCUCCUGGCCCAUUUCUGACGCUCAGACACGAAAGCUAAGGUAGCAAACGG
RNAcentral lists this ribosomal RNA (403 nucleotides) under uncultured bacterium. RNAcentral's name for it is "bacterial SSU rRNA". It matches the Rfam family "Bacterial small subunit ribosomal RNA", at positions 355 to 775 of the family's 1533-position model. The record is from RNAcentral.